RNA transcript from Syngnathoides biaculeatus (alligator pipefish), 3814 nucleotides. It is a transcript of the gene named transmembrane protein 88-like, with no coding region annotated. The transcript has 7 exons. The record is from RefSeq and is a predicted model, not a curated record. Lineage: Eukaryota; Metazoa; Chordata; Actinopteri; Syngnathiformes; Syngnathidae.
UGGCCAGCUUUUUUUUUAUUUGUAUUUUUUUGGGCGGGGGGGGUGCGUCUGUAAAUGACGCUCGAUGGCUUUGUGGUUUUGUAUUGAACUGUAGAUUUCAUGCAUUUUUAUGUGCUUUGGUUUUCAGAUCUGUGGUAUUGCAAUUGUACUAUUCAUGUCAAUAUUGAAAUGUACAAAAAUUUUCUGCCGUGAAAUGUUUUCUUCUGUGGUGGUGUAAUACGUUACACUUUCAAUCUUAAUGGUCAUGUGUUCCUGGGUCUGUUUUAUUCACCCUCUGGUUAUCCAGUGAGGGGUGUGGGUCAUUUUUAAUAUUGAACUUUUGGGGUUCUUCUGAUCUGUUUGACGUGUUGCAGAGGUGGAGCUGGAUCAUGAGAGUGUAAAAACUGGCAAAAAUGAAGUGACCAGCACGCAACUAAUGGUUGCAUGUCUUUUACAGGGCGGAUGAGGCGACUGCCGGGGGACGGGACGAGUGGAAGUAAAAAUUCACCAGUGCGGGAGUCGUUAGUGUGUUUGGUGACAGGAGGGGGGGCAGAGUACUGGGCUUUGUGGCACACCUUGUGUAGCAGUCUGGGAAAUGGUGGCAGAGGAUGAGACGAGACAGGAGGGGAUGAAUCAGGGUAACAAGAACAUGCACAAAUUCAAAUGAUCUGCACUCAACCCCCCCCCCACCGUUUUGCAUGAUUGGGAAAAAAGUAAAAUGUAUAAACACCAGUGAAAUAAGUAUUGGGCUUUCAUUUUUUUCGUGGUUAAGAAAUAGAAAAACUAGACCUAAAACAUGACAAUGUGCAGUAAAAGGCAACGUUUGCACACAGUGGUUAAACACAAAAAAAUCCCCCAAUAAAUGGGACAUAUAGUGGAGUGAUUUGAUUGGGGGGGUAAAAUAGUAAAUAUUUUAAAAUUGUGCAGGAUCUAAAAGACAAUGCAUUGUUAGUGUUUUUGUUGCUCAAUCUUUUCUUUUUUGGGGUCCUCCUUUCCCUCCCGUGAAGGAAUACUUUAACCCUAUUGCACUAUAAUUCAGUUUUUUUUUUUUUUUUUUUUUUUUUUUGUGUUAGACCAUGAGGAGUAUCAUGUUUUUAGAAAAGUCUUAAAGCUUCGGCUCUCCUUUUGUGGCGUGAGGGGAGAAGCGAAUUGGAGGCAGGUGCGCACCAGCGAGCCAUAAAGCUGACGCAGGUGCACUAAUGGGCAUGAGCAGCAAAAUGGCGAGCAGGGAAGCGGCGUUUUCUCAGGCGUGCAAGCAAAUGUUUGUUUGUAACGGUGGAAUUGUUUGUUGCAGGCUUCUCAGUGGCGAGGAAGCAGCCGCGUCGAAGGAAAAGUUUGUGCGUCACGUUGGGCUGAGCACUUGUUUCUUUUUACGUGAUUUUAUUUUUUUAUGCUGGCUGGCUCUUCUGUUUAGUUCUUUUCUGAAUAUUUACAUGUAUUAUUGAUGUAAUUUGUAUCUUUCCUGUGAGCCUUUCGCAAUCUUUUUUUAAAAGGCGGUGCUUCAACCGUGGAGGGCAACGUGUACAAAGGCACAAAUGAAUCCAAGUUUCCAGCUCCCAACGCGUGACACUUGUGUGCUUUUUGCAGGUUGAAAGAGGAGCCCGCCUGGUGGAAGGAGGUCAAAGGACGAGGCCUCUCAAGCUGUUUGCCCGUGUCUGAAUCGGUCCGAGGGUGGUGGAGAUGCAGAAUCAGACAACGCACCAGGGUCAGCGGUUCUUAAAGACUAAUCAGAAUCAUCUUGAUGAUGUAGUUUGCGUGGCCAAAUUGGACGAAGUGACCAGGAUGGGGAGGCUGUAAGACGAUUUUGGAUGUAGAGCUGUGGCAGUGUGCAAGUCCUGGAGGAGGAGUCAGCAGCAUUUUUGACCCUGCCCCAAGUCUUUUGAGAAAUUGGACAAGGGUAAAAAGUCCUUACGCAUCAUGAACUGAUUCCAAACUACCUCACCGUAGCAUUCCCAAAGAAAAGUGGGAAUGUUCCACCGCUUCAAGAUCCAAGUACGAGGGAAGUGUCUUGCGACCACUUUUGCUGUUUGUCGUCACUCACUAAUGCACGGGGGGUGUUCGCACUGACUCUGAUUUUUGAACAUUAAUUUGGCCCUUCUGUAGCUAAGUGUGGAAUUUCAAGCUGUCAUCCGUCCCUAUUGGUCAAUGCCAGCUUUUUGCUUUCAGGGGCAGCGGCGGAUUGGGCAAGAACACAGAAAUUGGAGAAAGAUAAGUUAUGACUAUAACUAAUACAGUACACGUGACAUGUGAGUGGCGCGUUCCCAACGUGAUUCUUCCUCGUGUUGAUGACUCGGAGCAGCGGUGGAGUGCAGGAAUGCGGCCAGGAGGAAAAAAAACGUACACGGCGACGCUGUCCAGUCGGGGUCCUCGAAGCCGCGUUCAACGUGAAAUUGUGCAGUCACGCCGACCUGAGGGAAGGAAGCUGCAAGUGGUGACCAGGAUGUGGACGCUGCAAGAGCAUUUUUGGAGGCAGGUCCUCAAGGGGGGGGCUCGAGGGGCCCCCUUUUCAGCGGUUUUGCUCGGAGGUGGAAAGCAGAACACGGGACUGACUCGACGACUGCAAUGUCGAACUCCUCGGCGGCUUCUGCGGCAGACGCAGGAAGUGGACCUUCCGCUGGGCCUUUUUCAGGUCGGGAGCGAUUUUAAACUCCCAGGACGUUGAAGGUCCCCCACGGCGAACGCACGGCAGCUGGGACGAAGGACGCCUCUGCCUCACGAAGUCCACAAUCUUUUCUCCGCUCAUCGUCGCAGUCUUCGAGGCCGCUGGAGCGUCGACCGCAACGGCAAACGGUCCUCUUGCGGAGCUUCACGCGGAUGCCAAGGUGCAGCAGAGGAAACGAGGCGCCGACAUCCGCCGGGUGAGGGUAAAAAGUACACACAAAUUGAAGUCACCAGCGUGCAACUAAUUGUGUUGUGCGUACAUAUUUUGGAGGCGAGCUGCAGAAAGGCUGAGCGAGGGGAAACGGAACGGACCAAAUAAAGGAAGUGAACGGGAGGAGGGCAGCUUUGGCCAAGGAAGUUCGGAGAGUUUUGCGGACCUUCCUCGGUCGGCUGGAGCCGGCCGGUCUUGAUUUGUCCCAUCUGCGGCGCCGACGUCCGUUGGAGGUGGUCGGCUCGUCGUUUCGGCGGGGUCAGGGGUCGGCCGUAGCGGGCGGGCCCCGCGAAGACGAGGGAGGACUUCUCGUCUCUCGGUGAGUACGCGUCACCAACGUAACGUCAACGCCGGUGCGCUUCUCCCCCCGCAGCGUCCCGAAACAAAGGCGCCAACCGGAGGGUGAGUCUGUCGUCGGUCCGCUUGGCGUUUGCCUCCGCUCACUAACUCACUUGGUGUUCACCCACUAACGCCGUUUGCUGUGAAUUUUGUUCAAAUCUUUGAACGUGUUCAUAAUUCCGUCUUCCCCCAAAAUGUCUUUUUUGUAUUUGACUUUUUCUCUCCUUUACACUUUCGUAUGUGACAAAUGUGCUUUAUUUGAAAUAAAAUGGCUUUGAACUGUUUUUAGCGUGUGCAAAUACAUUUCAGACUAAAAAUGACUCUCACAGUCAGGCAUUUUAGCGCCCUAAAAUAAGUUUGAUAUUUCGGCCUUUGACAAAUAGCAUAAAAAAUUUCCCAAAGUAUAAAUGACUGGAUUUUAAAUGGACAAAAUUAAAACAUGACAAUGUGCAGUAAAAGGCAAAAUUUUCAUGCAGGGGUUUAAAAAAAAAAUCUCAGGACGUAUUGUGAGAUGAUGGGGUAAAAAAAUGAAAGUGGUCAAAUUGUGUGUGAUUUAAUGAAAAAAAAAAUUGUACAAUGUGUUUUUGUUGGAUGCCUGAGAAGUUGCAGUCAUUCAGUUUUUGA